RNAcentral lists this long non-coding RNA (395 nucleotides) under Brassica napus (rape). Its description in RNAcentral is "long non-coding RNA (BNAP_LNC020023)". The record is from RNAcentral. Lineage: Eukaryota; Viridiplantae; Streptophyta; Magnoliopsida; Brassicales; Brassicaceae.
GUGGAGUUUUUCUGCUUACACCGUGUAUUCGGCCACCUUAGGAUCAUUUAAUAUUAGGUUCAUUCAUAAUUGAGAUCCAAUUAACAUUCUAGAUCCAAGAAGAGUUUGUUGCAUUUGUGUAUCUUUGGAGCUUGAAUCAGAUAAAUGGAGGGCAAAAAUAUGAACUUGGGGGCUUGGUGUGAAGCUGGUAGGAACUUGGAGAGCACCAAGGAGGAAUCAAGAGAAGCCAAAAUAUGUAUAGAGAAAAAGAGACUGGCAUUUAGGUCGAUGGGAAAAUAUCGAUAAAGAACUCACAAAGAAAUAGAAGAAUCACUCGGGCAUGCAUGCAACAUAUAUUUUACAUGAUAAGAUUUUUUGGUGAAAUAAUAUCAACAUUAAUAAUCUUUUGGUCAAAG